RNAcentral lists this ribosomal RNA (438 nucleotides) under uncultured bacterium. RNAcentral's name for it is "bacterial SSU rRNA". It matches the Rfam family "Bacterial small subunit ribosomal RNA", at positions 949 to 1390 of the family's 1533-position model. The record is from RNAcentral.
AUUCGAAGCAACGCGAAGAACCUUACCAGGGCUUGACAUCCUACUAACGAAGCAGAGAUGCAUUAGGUGCCCUUCGGGGAAAGUAGAGACAGGUGGUGCAUGGUUGUCGUCAGCUCGUGUCGUGAGAUGUUGGGUUAAGUCCCGCAACGAGCGCAACCCUUAUUGUUAGUUGCUACGCAAGAGCACUCUAGCGAGACUGCCGUUGACAAAACGGAGGAAGGUGGGGACGACGUCAAAUCAUCAUGCCCCUUAUGUCCUGGGCCACACACGUACUACAAUGGUGGUCAACAGAGGGAAGCAAUACCGCGAGGUGGAGCAAAUCCCUAAAAGCCAUCCCAGUUCGGAUUGCAGGCUGCAACCCGCCUGCAUGAAGUUGGAAUCGCUAGUAAUCGCGGAUCAGCAUGCCGCGGUGAAUACGUUCCCGGGCCUUGUACACAC